Long non-coding RNA from Cuculus canorus (common cuckoo), 457 nucleotides. RefSeq lists it as uncharacterized. The record is from RefSeq and is a predicted model, not a curated record. NCBI's taxonomy places the organism in Eukaryota, Metazoa, Chordata, Aves, Cuculiformes, Cuculidae. The transcript is spliced from 3 exons.
GGCAGUGGGAGGGAAGGGGAGGAAUGGUUGUCUUUGUGCCCGUAAACAAUGGCCCAUGAGGACGCGUAAUGCUGCCCCUAACGACCCUCGCGAUGGGCUGUGAGGGGGGAAAGAGGAAACCUUAAUGAUUGUUUAAAAAGAGGCACAACCAUCCACUGCUGUGAAGGCAGAAGGUACUGCAGAGACUCAGAGCCUGAUGAGGAUCAAGGAAUGGAGGUAGUUUGUGGAGUCAGAGCCCUUCAGUGUGGGAAUAGAGGAGGUUUUUGACAUCCUGCCACUGUACAGUGUGCUGCAGCCGAGUGAGAGCCAGCGGGUCACGUUCCCCCUCUUUGGCCGUGCAGACAUUGUCGCCCACGUCAUGGCACUGUGCAGGGUGGAGGGAGGCCCAACCUACGAGAUUGCGCUGAGCGGGGAUGCUUUGCUUAUCAACUGCCUCUUGGACAUCACAGAGAUUGAC